This 232-nucleotide ribosomal RNA is filed under the name uncultured bacterium. RNAcentral's name for it is "partial 16S ribosomal RNA". It matches the Rfam family "Bacterial small subunit ribosomal RNA", at positions 15 to 245 of the family's 1533-position model. The record is from RNAcentral.
GAUCUUGGCUCAGGACGAACGCUGGCGGCGCGCCUAACACAUGCAAGUCGAACGGUGAAGAGGAGCUUGCUCCUCGGAUCAGUGGCGGACGGGUGAGUAACACGUGAGCAACCUGGCUCUAAGAGGGGGACAACAGUUGGAAACGACUGCUAAUACCGCAUGACGUAUCGGGAUGGCAUCUUCCUGAUACCAAAGAUUUUAUCGCUUAGAGAUGGGCUCGCGUCUGAUUAGA